AUGAGUGUAUUUAAACUCCCCGCCUCGGUUUGCGAUGACAUCACACGUAUGAUAUGCCAGUAUUGGUAGGGAGUUGAGAAUGGGAAGAAGAAGAUGGCUUGGAUGAGUUGGGAAAAGUUGAGACUACCCAAAUCCAUGGGAGGAUUGGGUUUUAGAGACAUGAGGGCGUUCAACCAGGCUUUGCUCGCUAAACAAGCAUGGAGAUUACUGGACAGACCGGACAGCUUAUGUGCGCGUUUGAUCAAGGCGAGAUAUUACCCCUUAGGCCAGCUUUUGGACACAGUGUUCCCGGGCACUGGCUCAGAAGUUUGGAAAGGAAUCUUGCAUGGUCUUGAGCUGAUUAAAAAGGGUGUCAUUUGGCGUGUCGGCAACGGUACGAAGAUCCGCACUUGGCGUGACCCAUGGCUCCCCCGACCUUACUCCUUCCGCCCAAUCACCCCGAAGGGAAAUUGCCGCUUCAAUAGGGCUUCGGAUUUCCUGGAUGGCAAUGGUGCAUGGCGGUAGGAUCGGCUCGGCGAGUUUUUCUGGCCUAUGGAUGUCAACCAGAUACUGAAGAUACGUACAUCGCCUCGCCAGAGGGAUGACUUUCUGUCCUGGUAUCCUGAGAAGAGUGGUUGCUUUACUGUGAGAAGUGCAUACAAACUGGCCAUGCAUGAUCAGAAUGUUGCAGCCGCCAAUGGUGCGUCCAACAGCGCCCCUGAGGGGAACCGUUUAGCUUGGAACCUCGUCUGGAAGGCUGCGGUUCCUCAAAAAUGA
RNAcentral lists this ribosomal RNA (756 nucleotides) under Triticum aestivum (bread wheat). RNAcentral's name for it is "partial small subunit ribosomal RNA". Lineage: Eukaryota; Viridiplantae; Streptophyta; Magnoliopsida; Poales; Poaceae. The record is from RNAcentral.